GUGGACAUCUUACCCGGCGGCAUUAGAUUGACCGGCUCUCUUCUAAUACUGUCAGGUAAAGAUGUCUCC
Capitella teleta is the source of this 69-nucleotide non-coding RNA. Lineage: Eukaryota; Metazoa; Annelida; Polychaeta; Capitellidae. The record is from Rfam.